AAUCAACGCUGGCGGCGUGCCUAACACAUGCAAGUCGCACGAGAAAGGGUAGCAAUACCUGAGUAAAGUGGCGCACGGGUGAGUAACACGUGACUAACCUACCCUCGAGUGGGAAUAACUGAGAGAAAUCUUAGCUAAUACCGCAUAACACUUACGAGUCAAAGCAGCAAUGCGCUUGGGGAGGAGGUCGCGGCAGAUUAGCUAGUUGGUGGGGUAAUGGCCCACCAAGGCAAUGAUCUGUAUCCGGCCUGAGAGGGCGCACGGACACACUGGAACUGAAACACGGUCCAGACUCCUACGGGAGGCAGCAGUGGGGAAUUUUGCGCAA
This 328-nucleotide ribosomal RNA is filed under the name uncultured bacterium. RNAcentral's name for it is "bacterial SSU rRNA". It matches the Rfam family "Bacterial small subunit ribosomal RNA", at positions 32 to 371 of the family's 1533-position model. The record is from RNAcentral.